This 304-nucleotide ribosomal RNA is filed under the name uncultured bacterium. RNAcentral describes it as "partial 16S ribosomal RNA". It matches the Rfam family "Bacterial small subunit ribosomal RNA", at positions 506 to 807 of the family's 1533-position model. The record is from RNAcentral.
CAGCAGUCGCCACGGUAAUACAGAGGGUGCGAGCGUUAAUCGGAUUUACUGGGCGUAAAGCGUGCGUAGGCGGCUUUUUAAGUCGGAUGUGAAAUCCCUGAGCUUAACUUAGGAAUUGCAUUCGAUACUGGGAAGCUAGAGUAUGGGAGAGGAUGGUAGAAUUCCAGGUGUAGCGGUGAAAUGCGUAGAGAUCUGGAGGAAUACCGAUGGCGAAGGCAGCCAUCUGGCCUAAUACUGACGCUGAGGUACGAAAGCAUGGGGAGCAAACAGGAUUAGAUACCCCCGUAGUCCCUGUCUCUUAUAC